UUGUUAACUCUCAUUAGAAACCCCCUUUGGACUAUGACUUAAAAUCAAGGAGUUAUAGGGACUGUUUACCCAGCACAUGUUUCGAAGUUUCUGUCUAUAGGGGAUUGGUUCCAAGCUGCGCAAUUUAUAGAGGAGCUUCAACGCGCCGAACCUUCUCAACCUCCCGUCUGAACCACCCUCAUCUCAGUCACGCUUAAAGCGUCGUAAAUUACGAUGUCAGAUCGGUUACCCGAGGUUUUCGUCGCUGUACACUUAGUCUGCGACGUCGGCAACUGAAUCCCCCCACCUAGCACAAAGUUCACCUGAUACCUCUCCGUUCCCUCUAAUGAGGAGGGGACUUGCAGGCUUUUGGCCUGACCGUGACCUUCCACAAAUCCCCAGUCUGAGAAUCGAGACAUGGUCAUUGCCUACGACUCUUAGAGUUCAAGUUGAUAUAAUGAAAAAAAAAAAAGAGUACUUGAAUACUCUAAUAAAGAAAUCCUGCUCAUACUCCUUUGAAAGGAGAUCUAAUCAAAAUGGAGCGAAUAUUUUUCUAACAAUAGAGAUGUAUAGUCCUGUGAGGCUAUCGUUCCUAACAAAUACAGAAAUCAAAAUUAAAAUUGAAUCUAUUGGUUCUCUAACCCUAUGCUAAAGUAAUUUUGGUCUAACAGUAUAAUUGUUUCUAACCUUCUCAUCAUUUAUUCCACUUCACAUUCAUACAUAAAAAAAUUUCAGUCAUUGUGGGCAUUCAUUCUAAAGUUAAAAGCUGCUAUAGACGCCAAAACACCCAAUUAUGUCUAUCAAAUAAACCCUAACAAUAAUAAAGUCUUUCAGGACCGGUGAGAAAUCAAAUAAAGUUAUCUAAUUAAAACAAAGUGGGGACUAAAGCCCUAUUGACUUAAAUAAAUGCCUCAUACAAACUCUAUAUAAAUUAUCUACUCAUAGAUAAACUUUCUUUAUACUUAAACAAAUUAGUAAAAAUGAUUGUUAACAACCAAAUGCUGAAAUCUAACCUAACACUUUAAAUGUGUGUCUAACAGUUUGAAAAUCUUCUUAUCUUGACACUUGGUGUCUAGACAAACGAAUAAUCAAAACUAGCACUUAAAUGGAGCGAACUGAACUUCAAGCAUUUACCUCAUUGCCGAAUAUGAUAGGUCUACAAGUGUUUUGCCAACGCUUCUUCUUUCUCUGCUAUUCAGCUAAACUCUUUCUUUGGACUUAUAGGGCUUUUGGUACCCAGCUCGUUCUGGAGUUUAACAACAGAGGUUACUUGUUGCUCUAUCAUAUCAAUUCUUAGAUUGUAACUGCAUUACAUACUCUCAUUAGAAACCCCUUUUAGACUAUGACUUAAAAUCAAGGAGUUAUAGGGACUGUUUACCCAGCACAUGUUUCAAGUCUGUCCACAGAGAAUUGGUUACAAGCACAGCAGAUAUCUAAAGCAUCUAAGUUUCCUAAUUAAUCUUGAAGUUGAACCACUGUUCAUAAUCUUCAAUAAAAAAAAACUGAAAACUCCGUACAAUGAACAUUUAACACAAACAUGAGGUUGUAGAAAAAAAAAAAAAAAAAAAAACGGAAACUCUCCAAAACCACAGACUACGGUCUUUAACUCGCGUUCUAACACAUUUUACUAUGAUCAAAAUUCAACUAGCUCUAGUACACAUUCUAUAGGUUUAAAUCAUUGGCAACCCGGACAUGAUCUGCACUCGGUGGGCUUCUUCACCCUGGUCGAACGGCGUAUUUCAGUGCCGUCAACAUUGCCACCAAUUGUCCUAUUCACUGUCUCUAGCGGGUUCCCUAAGAUUACUGUCUCUCGUGGUCCUUCUGGUUCUACAAUUCUAUGGGAAUAUAUAGGAUACGUUGGAUGUACUCAGUGAUCCUCAUCAUCAAUGACACCAUCUAUUUGUUCUUGUACGUCUUCGUCCCCCAUAGGGUAAGUCUUUAUCGGGGCAUGAUAGGCCUUCAUUCUGUCUAUGUGGAUCUUAUCUAAGUUCCCUGUCUCCAAAUCUUUCAAAAGGUAAACCGUGUCACCUGUCCUUUGUAGUACCUCAUAUGGUCCCCUGUACCUUGGCUCAAAUUUAUGACGAUCUUUCGUCUCAUGCAUUCUUUUUACCAAAGCUAGAUCCCCUGUCUCAAAGGUCCUUAACUCUCUAGCUUCAAACUCAGCCCUGGCUUCUUGUUGCCCCUUCAAGUAAGUUUGCCUCACCACCUCUCUCGCUUUUUCAACCUCCUUCACCAAUUCCCGCUCAUAGAAGGCCGCCAUUUCAGUCAUUGAAUCUUCGCAUAUAGGAUUAAGCUCCUCUUCCUGGAAAGGUUGUGGAAGCCUCAGCUCAUGUCCGAAGACCAGUUUCGCUGGAGUAAAUCCAGGACUAGAGUGUACAGUGGUCCUGAUAGCUAAGGCUACCAUUGGCAAGGUGGUAUCCCAAUUGUUCCCCGCUGUACACCUGCGUAGAGAUUCUAUUACCGUCCUAUUGAGCCUUUCUACGGCGCCAUUACUCUGAGGUCUCCGGGCUGUGGUAUUUACUGCUCCAAACCCCAUGGCCUUGCAAACUCCCUUGAAUACGCAACUCAUGAAUGCCGAACCUCGGUCAGAGAGUAUCGUUUUUGGUACUCCAAAGGUAGUGAUUAUCCUUUCCAACAAGGCCCUAACCACUGUAUUGGCACACUGGUCCUUAGUAGGAAUCAGAAUUGGGAACUUAGUAAAUAGAUCCACAAUGGUCAGAAUACUCGAAUAACCUCUUGGGGUUACUUCUAAUGGUCCUAUGAAGUCUAGAGCUAGGUGUUCAAAGGGUUUUUCGGGCCUAAAGUGAGGAGCAUUAGCGGCUUUGGUUACGCCUUGAUUCGAUAGCUGACAGCUCCCGCAUCUGCGUAUAUAUUUCCGGACUUGAGUCCUCAUACCAGGCCAGUAAUAGUCGCCCUUCAGCCUUCUCAUAACCUUUCUAACUCCGAAAUGACCUCCAGUAGGGAUGUCAUGAUGAUAGCUGAUCACUGUUUCCCUAAAACCUGUAGGAACCACCUUCACCCAGGUACCCUUCUCAUUCUUUGUAACGAGGUAAUUGUCUUGUAGCCUAUACUCUCGGCUAUUAUAUCUUUCUAUACCUCCCGAUUUUUGUUUCAAUAACCUAUUUAUUACUGGGGCCCAUCCUUUCUCUUGAAGCAAGCCUUCCCAUAUCUGAUUACUAUCUAAUAAGGGGGGCCGACGGUCUCUUACCACCGCGGCCACCACCCUCCUAUCUUGUGAUAGGUUUGGAUCAUCCUCGCACGGGAACCUACUAAGAAAGUCGGCUACCGUGUUUUCCUUCCCCGGGACAUAAAUGAAUGUAACGUUGAAGUCUUGGAUGAUCUCUGUCCACCUAGACAGUCGGGCGUUCUUAUAAUCAGACCCCUUAUUAUAAGUAAUCGGUUUAUGGUCAGUGUGUACUUCUACCCUACUGCCCGCCAGGAGGUGUUUAAAGUGUUGUAGGGACAACACUACUGCAUAGGCCUCCUUUUCUAUUGUAGAAUAGCGGAUCUCAGGACCAGUCAGUCUCUUGCUAUAAUAAGCAUUUGGCCUCACUGUCCCAUUGACCUCCUGUUGGAGGCAAGCGCCUACCGCUAUCCCACUGGCGUCAGUGUUCAGGAUGAAAGGUAUCCCAACUGUUGGGUGGAUUAGUAGUGGCUCGCUGGUUAAUAUUCCCUUCACCGUCUCAAAGGCUGACUGCUCUAUCGUACCCCAAGCAAAUCUAUGUCCCUUCCUUAAUAGGUUGCUCAGUGGAGCCAGGACCUCACCUGCGUUGGGAAUAAAGCGUCGGUAGUAGUUACCUGUACCCAAUAGACUUCUGACUGCCUUGAUGUUAUGAGGUCUUUUCAAAUCCCUGAGAGCGGCGACAUUAUCCCACAUGGGUUUGAACCCAUUUUGGUCGAUUACAUGACCCAGGUACUCUACUGAGUCCCUGAAGAGAUAGCUCUUCCCGUAUUUGGCCUUCAAGCCGAACUUAUUCAGACGUUCGAGUACAGCGGCGAGGUCCGCUACAUGCUGCUCGUGAGAGCCGCUGUAGACAAUGACGUCAUCGAUGUACAGGCGAACGCAUUUAAACAACAAGUCACCUAGGACCAAGUUCAUGGCCCACUGGAAGACUUGUGCUGAGUUUUUUUGCUCCUUGUGGCAAACGCGUGAAGCGGUAUCUCCCCCAGGGCAGAGAGAAGGUAAAAUAAUCUCUGUCACUCUCCGGGAUGUGAAUCUGGAAGAAUCCAGAAGUCAGAUCUAAUGUGCUGAAGACCUUUGCACCCGCAAAUGCGCGCAGAUUGUCUUCAACACGGGGUAUCGGGAACGGGAAGAAUUCAGUUGCCUCAUUGAUCAUACGUAGAUCCAUGGUGAUGCGAACACUACCAUCAGUUUUGGCAACCGGGAAUAGAGGGGAAUUCCAUAGAGAGGUACUCCCUUCUAUUAUCCCUACUUCUUCCAGUUCGUCUACUAACGUUUUCACCUUUGAGACUAACCUAUUCGGGAUCGGAUAUUGCCUCCUAUAUACUGGUUUGCUAGUCAGCAUUCUCAGUUUAGGGGCUGUGAUGGUGGAACCAUUCCCCAUAUCCCUUAUGUCCCUACAAAAACAAUGGCUGAAAGCCUUGAAAAUAUCUUCGCCUGUGGGAUUUCGUUUAAGGGUAUCCUGGGUGGCUGAGGAGACAAUUCUAUCGUCUGUAAUGAGGAAAGAAAGGCCGACUUGGUCGGAUCUUCCUUCCUUUCGUAAUCGGAUCUAAUACUACCGUCGUAGCUGAGGUGCAGCUUUAGGGCUCGGAAACCCGGUAAUCCGAGUAUGCCAUCAAGACCUAUUUCUCCCAUGUGGCAAUACUCAAAAGUCGUCCUUACCUCCCUAAUGGGCUUACCGUUUACCAUUGCCCCUACCUCUAAUACUUCACUCCCUAAUGACUUUAAAGAUUUUCCUGUUAUACCCUUAAGGUAAGUUGGUCUGUUUAGCCCCUCAGUGCAUAAAUUUAAAUUAUCUAUAUUUACAAUAUUGGCCUCUGAGCCCGAGUCUAUGAUAAAUUUUAGAGUUCUCUCACUCAGAGACCUCCCUUUAUUUAAUAUAUGUACAUUUAUGGCAGGCAAACUGGCCGCAAAUCCCCCUCCUGCCUUGAGGCAAGCCGGACCUAGUUUUUUCUCUGUGUCUGCUGGCAAUCCCUGAUGAGGUAUCCUGGCUCACCGCACCUGUAACAUUUGGGUGGUGGCCUCCUUACAUCCUGUUUCUUAUAUUCCCCUCCAGGGUUCUCCUCCCUUUCACCGUUAGGAUGUCUCCUUUCUUGUCUGGGUGGAGGCGGGUUCUGCUGUUGCCUGGAUGGUUGUUGUGUAGGUCUCCUUUGCCAGUCCCUGAAGGGAGCUCCCCUCCUGUUAUCCUCGGUGUUAUCUCCGUAAUCCCUUCUUCCUGCGGGGUGUGAUGGCCACCUUCCUCCUCCGUUAUUUGCUCUAUUGGUACUCCCUCUUUGUCUCCUAAGGGCUGCAUUCUCGAUUUCUAGUGCCUCCAUCUUCUUCUCCAGCUCGGCCAAUUUGUUACCCAUGUCACCCUGCCUCUGGCCGUUCCUGUCGACGCUGGAGCGUUGCGCCUCCCUGUAGUCCUCCUGUCUUUGUUCCAGCCACUGUAGCUUGGUAACUAGGGUCUCCCAGGGUUCGCCUUGGUAUAGAUGAGCCUUUUCCCACAGGCUGGGACAGAGCCCGUCGAUGAAAACCUCUGCGACCUCUGAGAUGCCUAUCUUCAGGCCAUCCGACUCUGCUCCCGCUGCAAGGUCACUCACUCGCGCGGCGAAGUCCCGUACUUUCUCUCCGGCUCUCUGUCUACAUGAGAAGAACUGACUCCUCAUUUCCCUUGUAGAGACCCUCUUUCGGAACCGCCCUUCUAGACUCUCCUUCAACUCUUCGUAUCCGAGGCGGAUUUGUUGGGACUGUAGGGCAAACUCCCUCGCAGCCCCCCGGAGGUGGUUGUCCAAGAGGAUCCUUUUCCUGGCGUCGUCCAGGGCCCUUAGAUCGUAGACGAGCUCAAAAUCCUUUAUGAAUUUUGUGAAGGGGACUAUACCCUUCCCUUCAAACUUCUCCAGGUUUUACAGCAUGGAGGGCAGCUGGGCCUGGACAGCUGUGGCAUUCUCUUUAUCAGCAGGCAUGGUCCUCAGUUGUUGGAUCUACAGGAGCUAGGUAUUAGUCUUUCAUCCUGGUUGCAACGGUAGUAUCAGGACCCAUAGAGGCGGGCGAAGUAGGGAAUACAAAACAGAAGGAAGGGAAGAAGUCUUUCUUAAUCAUGUUCUUAAAAUAAUGUGAAGUUCGCGUUUCGAAAAAAAAAUAUAUGGAAAAUCCAAACAUAGAAAACCAUAUGUGGAGGUAAAAAAUUAUUCCAAUCUUCAACAGCCAAAAAAUAUAUAUAUAUUUUCAAAUUCAAGGUAUUCUACUCAUAAACGAGAUCCCGUGCCAAGAGCUACCCCCCACAGGCAAUCAUAUGGAAGGAGCCUUCAAAAAUUUAAUACGCCAAAACCAAUAACAUAACUCAAUGCAGGCAACCUGCACCUACUGAGGUGUCAAAUCUAAUAAAAAUAAUUAAAGGUGAUCGAGAUAUACAUAUAUAUAUACAUAUAUAUUUUAAAUAUAUAUUUAAUCCUAUAUAUUUGCGUGAUUUCAUUAAUUGAUAUAAUUAAAAAAAAUGUUGUACAUCGCGCCUCUGCUGUUAUCACACUGUUGAGUAAAUAAAUUCCAUAUAUGGAGAAAUCCUAGUGACCCUAAUAGACCACCAUAGCUCGCUUAGCUCACCGCUAGAUAGUGUCGUGUGGAUGUGCACGCAAACAUCGCGUCCCUGCUAUCAUCACACUGUUGAGUAAAUAAAUUCCAUAUAUGGAGAAAUCCUAGUGACCCUAAUAGACCACCAUAGCUCGCUUAGCUCACCGCUAGAUAGUGUCGUGUGGAUGUGCACGCAAACAUCGCGUCCCUGCUAUCAUCACACUGUUGAGUAAAUAAAUUCCAUAUAUGGAGAAAUCCUAGUGACCCUAAUAGACCACCAUAGCUCGCUUAGCUCACCGCUAGAUAGUGUCGUGUGGAUGUGCACGCAAACAUCGCGUCCCUGCUAUCAUCACACUGUUGAGUAAAUAAAUUCCAUAUAUGGAGAAAUCCUAGUGACCCUAAUAGACCACCAUAGCUCGCUUAGCUCACCGCUAGAUAGUGUCGUGUGGAUGUGCACGCAAACAUCGCGUCCCUGCUAUCAUCACACUGUUGAGUAAACAAAUUCCACAUAUGGAGAAAUCCUAAUGACCCUAAUAGACCACCAUAGCUCGCUUAGCUCACCGCUGGAUAGUGUCGUGUGGAUGUGCACGCAAACAUCGCGUCCCUGCUAUCAUCACACUGUUGAGUAAACAAAUUCCACAUAUGGAGAAAUCCUAGUGACCCUAAUAGACCACCAUAGCUCGUUUAGCUCACCGCUGGAUAGUGUCGUGUGGAUGUGCACGCAAACAUCGCGUCUCUGCUAUCAUCACACUGUUGAGUAAAUAAUUCCAUAUAUGGAGAAAUCCUAGUGACCCUAAUAGACCACCAUAGCUCGCUUAGCUCACCGCUAGACAGUGUCGAGUGUGUGGAUGCAAACAUCGCGUCUCUGCCAUUAUCACACUGUCGAGUAAAUAAAGAUUCUAUAACAAACCCGAGUCAAGAGCUAGCCCCCCCCCCCCCGUAGGCAAUCGUAUGGAAGGAAACUUCAAAAGUUUAAUAUACCAAAACUAAUAACUAUGACAAAGAUGUCUCCAACUCAAUGCAGGCAACCUACACCUAAUGAGGUGUCAAAUCUAAUAAAAAUAAUUAAAGGGUGAUCGAGACUGUCAACAAAUAUGUUGAUAUUAUUAAUUCAUGAUUAAUGGCGUAUUUCUUAAAUUAUUUUUAAUAUAUUUAAAAUAUAAUUAUAUAUUUAUUUAAUCUUAUAUAAAAUAUUCCAUGAUAUUUAAUUUAAAACGCAGAUUACUUAGAUUAUCAUCAUUUGUAUUUGGGUACACAUAUGACUUCACUGCUCUCUUUGGUCUGGGGAAAUAAAUUAAGUAUUCUGGUGGCUACUUAAAGAAGACUUAUCUCAUUAUUCCCUUUUAUAAAUUUGUAGGAUGGUUGAAACACGCUUUGGUAAGAUGCAAGACUCAGCACCGGAGAGAAUCCAGGCUGAAGAGCCUGCCAAGCCAUAUCCUGAUGCAACAACAUAAAGAGGCCUUCAGCCCAAUCCGGGGGGGGGGGGGGCAAUCAAGAUAAUAACAUCUAAGUACUUUGAGCUCAUAAUCUAACACCACCAUGCUGGCGCAGGUGAAAACGGUGAUCUGUUAGGGUGAUAUAGAUUGUCCUCCCUCUUCCCUGCUACAAAAUUCUAUCACCUUCUCAACUCUCCUUCAUCGCCUCUUAGCACAUCAUAACGCCCUUUUCAUCAUAUUUCAUCGCCUUUUCAUCAUAUUUCAUCGCCUUUUCAUCCCUCUGAGUCUCCCAGAAACCCGUCAUCGGGAAUUGGAUCCCGAUCUAUUAUCAUUCUUCCUUUUGAACUACUCUAGUGGCUAUCCCUCCCCUGCCAGCUCUAUAUGAAAGUCUGACACUCGUUCAGGGCGGGAGCUAUCGCAGAAUUUCGAGGAAAAUUCCAGAGAACCCGUUUCCACCCCUUUAAUCUCCCCUUCGAGGAGAUAAGCUCUUUCUGGGUGCAUUGAAACCAACUAGCCAUGAUGGCCCACUGGUAGAGGCGCUGUUCUCACUGCCUCUACUGUAUAUCAGAAUGAACUAUCAAUUAUUACUAGUGUAAUAGUAUUCCAACAGUCUAUCUUUUUAAUCCUUUAUGUACACUGGAUUAGGUAUUUACCUUGCUAACAACAAAGAAAAACCACAACACUUUGGACCAGUUAAAACGUAAUAAAGUUAAAUAAGCAGUUUGCUUCAGCUAAAUAGAAAGGGCAGCCUUGUCAUGGGAAUUGGGGAUAUAUGCAUGUACAAAGUCAGUUGCCUUACAACUCUGUCAAAGUGGGUUACACCUAAUUGUUAACAUUAAACAAUUCUGAUUGUCUACACC
Cordylochernes scorpioides is the source of this 9005-nucleotide non-coding RNA. Lineage: Eukaryota; Metazoa; Arthropoda; Arachnida; Pseudoscorpiones; Chernetidae. The record is from the annotation of a GenBank genome assembly.